RNAcentral lists this ribosomal RNA (691 nucleotides) under Cellulosimicrobium funkei. RNAcentral's name for it is "bacterial SSU rRNA". It matches the Rfam family "Bacterial small subunit ribosomal RNA", at positions 89 to 795 of the family's 1533-position model. The record is from RNAcentral. Lineage: Bacteria; Bacillati; Actinomycetota; Actinomycetes; Micrococcales; Promicromonosporaceae.
GGAUUAGUGGCGAACGGGUGAGUAACACGUGAGUAACCUGCCCUUGACUUCGGGAUAACUCCGGGAAACCGGGGCUAAUACCGGAUAUGAGCCGCUCUCGCAUGGGGGUGGUUGGAAAGUUUUUCGGUCAGGGAUGGGCUCGCGGCCUAUCAGCUUGUUGGUGGGGUGAUGGCCUACCAAGGCGACGACGGGUAGCCGGCCUGAGAGGGCGACCGGCCACACUGGGACUGAGACACGGCCCAGACUCCUACGGGAGGCAGCAGUGGGGAAUAUUGCACAAUGGGCGAAAGCCUGAUGCAGCGACGCCGCGUGAGGGAUGAAGGCCUUCGGGUUGUAAACCUCUUUCAGCAGGGAAGAAGCGCAAGUGACGGUACCUGCAGAAGAAGCGCCGGCUAACUACGUGCCAGCAGCCGCGGUAAUACGUAGGGCGCAAGCGUUGUCCGGAAUUAUUGGGCGUAAAGAGCUCGUAGGCGGUUUGUCGCGUCUGGUGUGAAAACUCGAGGCUCAACCUCGAGCUUGCAUCGGGUACGGGCAGACUAGAGUGCGGUAGGGGAGACUGGAAUUCCUGGUGUAGCGGUGGAAUGCGCAGAUAUCAGGAGGAACACCGAUGGCGAAGGCAGGUCUCUGGGCCGCAACUGACGCUGAGGAGCGAAAGCAUGGGGAGCGAACAGGAUUAGAUACCCUGGUAGUC